This 371-nucleotide ribosomal RNA is filed under the name uncultured organism. Its description in RNAcentral is "partial 16S ribosomal RNA". It matches the Rfam family "Bacterial small subunit ribosomal RNA", at positions 527 to 896 of the family's 1533-position model. The record is from RNAcentral.
GUAGGUGGCAAGCGUUGUCCGGAAUUAUUGGGCGCAAAGCGCGCGCAGGCGGUCCUUUAAGUCUGAUGUGAAAGCCCACGGCUCAACCGUGGAGGGUCAUUGGAAACUGGGGGACUUGAGUACAGAAGAGGAAAGCGGAAUUCCAAGUGUAGCGGUGAAAUGCGUAGAGAUUUGGAGGAACACCAGUGGCGAAGGCGGCUUUCUGGUCUGUAACUGACGCUGAGGCGCGAAAGCGUGGGGAGCAAACAGGGAUUAGAUACCCUGGUAGUCCACGCCGUAAACGAUGAGUGCUAAGUGUUAGGGGUUUCCCGCCCCUUAGUGCUGCAGCUAACGCAUUAAGCACUCCGCCUGGGGAUACGGCCGCAAGGCUG